GACGAACGCUGGCGGCGUGCCUAAUACAUGCAAGUUGAGCGCUGAAGGUUGGUACUUGUACCAACUGGAUGAGCAGCGAACGGGUGAGUAACGCGUGGGGAAUCUGCCUUUGAGCGGGGGACAACAUUUGGAAACGAAUGCUAAUACCGCAUAAAAACUUUAAACACAAGUUUUAAGUUUGAAAGAUGCAAUUGCAUCACUCAAAGAUGAUCCCUCGUUGUAUUAGCUAGUUGGUGAGGUAAAGGCUCACCAAGGCGAUGAUACAUAGCAGACCUGAGAGGGUGAUCGGCCACAUUGAGACUGAGACACGGCACAAUCUCAUACGGGAGGCAGCCGUAGGGCAUCUUCGGCCAUGGACGAAAGUCUGACCGAGCAACGCCGAGUGCGUGUAGAAGGUUUUCGGAUCGUAAAACUCUGUUGGUAGAGAAGAACGUUGGUGAGAGUGGAACGAUCAGCAAGUGACGGUAACUACUCAGAAAGGGACGGCUAACUACGUG
Molecule: ribosomal RNA, 497 nt
Filed under: uncultured bacterium
Lineage: Bacteria
Description: partial 16S ribosomal RNA
Rfam family: Bacterial small subunit ribosomal RNA
Source: RNAcentral